GAGUUUGAUCCUGGCUCAGGAUGAACGCUAGCUACAGGCUUAACACAUGCAAGUCGAGCGGUUUGUGCUUUUGCACAUUCAGCGGCAGACGGGUGAGUAACACGUAUCUAACCUUCCCCUUACUUGGGCAUAGCCUCUGGAAACGGAGAUUAAUUUCCGAUGUGGUGUACAUUUCGCAUGUUUUGCGCACCAAAGAUUUAUCGGUAAGGGAUGGGGAUGCGCUCCAUUAGGUUGUAGGUAGGGUAAUGGCCUACCUAGCCAAUGAUGGAUAGGGGGUCUGAGAGGAAGGUCCCCCACAUUGGAACUGCGACACGGUCCAAACUCCUACGGGAGGCAGCAGUGAGGAAUAUUGGUCAAUGGCCGGAAGGCUGAACCAGCCAAGUAGCGUGCAGGAUGACUGCCUUAUGGGUUGUAAACUGCUUUUUUACGGGAAUAAUUAUGAUCACGUGUGAUUAUUUGCAUGUACCGUAAGAAUAAGGAUCGGCUAACUCCGUGCCAGCAGCCGCGGUAAUACGGAGGAUCCUAGUGUUAUCCGGAUUUAUUGGGUUUAAAGGGAGCGUAGGCGGGAGGUCAAGUCAGCUGUGAAAUGUAUCUGCUUAACGGGUACACUGCAGUUGAAACUGGUUUUCUUGAGUGCGUAAGAGGCAGGCGGAAUUCGUUGUGUAGCGGUGAAAUGCUUAGAUAUGACGAGGAACUCCUAUUGCGAAGGCAGCUUGCUGGGUCGUUACUGACGCUGAUGCUCGAAGGUGCGGGGGUCAAACAGGAUUAGAUACCCUGGUAGUCCGCACAGUAAACUAUGGAUACUCUCUGCCGGCG
This 816-nucleotide ribosomal RNA is filed under the name uncultured bacterium. RNAcentral describes it as "bacterial SSU rRNA". It matches the Rfam family "Bacterial small subunit ribosomal RNA", at positions 9 to 828 of the family's 1533-position model. The record is from RNAcentral.